Molecule: long non-coding RNA, 1006 nt
Organism: Mesocricetus auratus (golden hamster)
Lineage: Eukaryota; Metazoa; Chordata; Mammalia; Rodentia; Cricetidae
Exons: 2
Source: RefSeq, a predicted model, not a curated record
UGCACCAGUCUCCAGCAAGAGACCUAACAUCAGUCAUGCACAUUAGUUGAGUACCAGCUCUAUAUCUGUUGGUCUAUAAUUUUAUUUUAAUUUUUCUGACAAGACAAUAAAGGUCUGAUAAUUAUUAUGUUUUGUAGCUGACAAGUUUAAAGCAUAGCCUGAGCCACACAGCAAAUAAGAAGCAAACUAGAAGGAUCUGCUUUCCAAAUCCAUGUCCACAUAUCCAUUUGUUUGGGAGGGAAUGAUGGAAGAUGGGUAUUGUCAGAAAUGGUCAUAUAUGGUUAUAUGAAAACAUACGUGAUACCUCAUUAGUGCAAUCAGUUUUCAUGGUUGUAUGCAUCAGUUUAAAAUAAGUGUGAUUAAUAACAAAAAUUGAAAACUGAGAGACAAAUCUGUGAAUGUGGAAAGUGGUCGAAGGUAGGUCAACGGAAGUGACACGAGAUGUUUGGGAGGUCCAGGUAAGAAAUCGAAGCCCUCCAGUCUCCCAACUUUACUCUUUAUGUGAAUAUGUUGUCUGUUUCCAGAUGGACAGUCUGUUGAGAAGCCCUGCCUUGAAGAGUUUGGCUUGGCACCCAGUCUUCAUGGAAUAGAUUUAAUCCCCAAGUCUCUAAACCAUAUGCCCCUGUCACUUAACUGGGCCAAUAGUUUUCUGUUUUCUCUAAACCUUUGUCUAGAUAACCUAUCAAGAUUCCAAAGAAUUUGCUGUGUCUAGUUCUUGUCUGGUACUAAGUCCUAGUACCAGAUGGAAGAGGACAACCAGUGGGAAAGGAAAGGGUGUGGUCAUUUGGUGACUCAAAGCUGACAAUACCCACUGGACACUGCAUCACUGGAAUUGAAAAUCAGCUCCCGUAGCUGCCAGAGCACUCCACUCAGAGUCUGAGUGAGGAGUCAUCCAGCUGUUUACGUAGGAAAAUCUGAAACCCGCCUUUUUCCUGCUUCAGAAGAGAGAUGCGGGUAUCGCCUGAAUCUGAAUAUUCUACAAGGAAAUAAAGGAAUGAAUAUUUAA